UACGAAUGGAGCGAGCGUUGUUCGGAAUCACUGGGCGUAAAGCGUACGCAGGCCGUCUUGAAAGUCAGGAGUGAAAUCCCAGGGCUUAACCUUGGAAUUGCUUUUGAAACUUCAAGACUAGAAUACUGGAGAGGUUGGCGGAAUUUCGAGUGUAGCAGUGAAAUGCGUAGAUAUUCGAAGGAACACCAAUGGCGAAGGCAGCCAACUGGACAGUUAUUGACGCUCAUGUACGAAAGCGUGGGGAUCAAACAGG
This 253-nucleotide ribosomal RNA is filed under the name uncultured bacterium. RNAcentral describes it as "partial 16S ribosomal RNA". It matches the Rfam family "Bacterial small subunit ribosomal RNA", at positions 524 to 776 of the family's 1533-position model. The record is from RNAcentral.